CACACACAGACACACACACUCACAGUAGAGAGCUGCCCACCCAACCAGGCCCUGGAAGAGAGAGCAUGCUGCCCACCUGGUCUCUCUGCUCCAUUGUGUGGCUGAACAGGGGCUUCAAGCUGAGGUUCAAGCUGAGGAAAGGGCCUUUCUGCCGCAGCCCCGGCCCGGUGUGAACCCUAACCCUCCCCAGGUCCCCUCCCCACGCCCCUGCCACCCCCAAGACCGCCAUGCUCAUGAGCUCUGGCUGAUGAACAACUCCGCCCCAGUUCCAUUUUCCUCCAUUUUCUUCGUCCGUGUUCUUCUGCGCCCCAUGUUCGUCUGAACAAAAUGGCCGCCGAGGGGCUGCAGUGCCUGACGGACAGCAGGGCGGCGCUGCGGAGCCCGAGCGCCCAGGAGGGGGAGGGGCCGAACGGCCAGUUCCCCAACGCCUACGUCCAAUAUCUGGGGCCCGAGAUGAUGUCACCGCCACCGCCGUCCAAUCAGCCCCUGCUGCCCCAGAGUCCUCUUCCAUUGGCUCCCAGACCAGCCCCGCCCCCUCUACAUAAAGCCGUUUCCCUCCUGGAGCUGACAGAGCGGUCGCCCAACCCUGUGCUGAGGCUGGUGGAGACGCUGGAGAAGCAGGACGGGGGAGAGGAGGGUGUCUCUGGGUGGCUCUGUGGGGCGUUGGAGCUGCCCGCCCCGCCCCUGCAGAACCUGCUGACGCUGCGGUACCUGCUCCGGUACCUGGGCCAGGUGUGCCACCCCCCGCCACCACACAGCCCCGCCCCCGCCUCUGGGGCGGGGCCUAACGCUGACAGUGUGGAGGCGGAGCUGAGACCUCCAGCUCUUUCUCCAAAACCCCCCAGGAGCAAAGUCGCGACCCCCCCGGCCGUCGCCAACGGCAACAGCGCUGGGCUGAGUGAAGUGGAGUGGUACUGGGGCGACAUCUCCAGAGAGGAAGUGAACGAGAAGCUGAGAGACGCCCCCGACGGCAGCUUCCUGGUCCGAGACGCUUCCAGCAGAGUGCAAGGAGAAUACACACUCACUCUACGGAAAGGGGGCAGUAAUAAGUUGAUAAAGAUCUUCCACCGCGGGGGGCGUUAUGGAUUCUCUGAGCCGCUGCCGUUCCUGUCGGUGGAGGAGCUGAUUGGUCAUUACCGCCAGCGGUCUCUGGCGCACUGCAACGCCCAGCUGGACACGCGGCUGCUCUACGCCGUCUCCAAACACGCCCCUCUAACCACAUCCUCCAAUCACAGUUUCACACUCAAACACCUGCAGGAGAAGAGAGUAGAGGAAGUGGGAGAGCAGUACCAGGAGAAGAGCCAGGAGAACGACCUUCUGUAUGAGGAGCACACCCCAACAGCGCAGGAGCUGCAGAUCAAGCGCACGGCCAUCGAGGCCUUCAGUGAGGCCAUCAGGAUCGACCAGGAGCAGUGUGAGACGCAGGACUGCCACGGCCAGGAGACUCAGCGCCUCUGCCCUGUGAUGACUGAGGAGGAGGAGGAGGCUCUUCCUCACGCUGACGAGCUCACCUGGUUUGUUGGGAACGUCAAGCGCUCAGAGGCUGAGGAGCUGCUGAGGGGGCGGGGCCACGGGACCUUCCUCGUCCGUGACAGCCAAUCACAGAAGGGCUCCUUCGCCUGCUCCGUGGUAGUGGAUGGCGAGGUGAAGCACUGUGUGAUCUGUAGGACAGUGACGGGGUAUGGCUUUGCGGAGCCCUAUAACCUGUACAGCUCUCUGAAGGAGCUGGUGCUGCACUAUCGCAGCCGGUCCCUGGUGCAGCACAACCGCACUCUGAAUGUGACCCUGUCCUGCCCCGUCUUCAGCCAGCACAACCACAACUACAGCCGCAGCAACUCCAACAGCCCCUGAGAACUACACUACCCAUGAGCCUCUGUGUUCUACUGUUUUACAGCCCCUGAGAACUAUACUACCCACAAGCAUCUGGUCUACAGCCCCUGAGAACUACAGUACCCACAAGCCUCUGUUCUACAGCCCCUGAGAACUACACUACCCUCAAGCCUCUGUUCUACAGACCCUGAGAACUACACUACCCUCAAGCCUGUGGUCUACAGCCCCUGAGAACUACACUACCCAUGAGCCUCUGUGUUCUACAGCCCCUGAGAACUACAAUACCCACAAGCCUCUGUGUUCUGCAACCCCUGUGAACUACACCACCCCAUGAGCCACAGGGUUCUACAGUCCAUAGGAACAACACUACCCAUGAGCCUCUGCGUUCUGCACAAAUAAGCACAUGUGAUUCUGAAGCCCUCUGGUGUGGUCCCUGUUCCAGGAAACCCACCAAUCAGCUUCAGAGAGGGGACCAAAUAGACAGGUGGCCACUGAUGAACAGGUGGGGUACCAGGUCGGGUGUUUUGGAGAGCCUCUGCAGUUUUGAAGGGGCCGUUAAUUUUAGGCUCCUCGAUAAAAGCCUGUUGUACUGAGCCUAGUAAGCGGGUGGUUCUCACUGUGUUGAACAAGCCCUCGGAGAGAGAGAGAGAGGGAGAGAGAAGGAGAGAGAGAGGGAGAGAGAGAGGGGGGGGAGAGAGGGAGAGAGAGAGACGGACUGAAAAUCAGAGAUAUAGACAUUAAUAUUAUUUUAUUUCAUGCCAUGUCGCUGUUUUUUAUUUGUACUUGUCUGACUGGUGGACAGGAAGCUGAUGGAGCUAUUUCCCGUAACAAGAUGUGAUGCCCCUGUGGGCCUCUUGUUCUAUGGUGUUGAAGCUGUGUGGGCUGUCCCCCUAGAAUUAACUAAUAGUUUUAGUUAAUCCGCUGUCUGUAGAGACGAAGGCAAUUGUCAGGUAGGAUUUUAAAAAUGUAUUUUCCGGUGCCCACACGGAGCCAUAGCUUAGCAGCUAGCUGGACCAGAAGCUGCUGACCUUUGACCUUUUCUCUAUGACCUUCAUGCCUUUUGCUUCCUUGAAACACUUCCUCUCAUAGAUUAUUCACUGAACUGUAGUUAUCAAAGUAUAGAACAAUGGUUAUGCAGCAAGUACAGAGCGGUUAGGCCAUCUGAGUGACAGGUGGAGUGCCAGGGGCCUGAUGGGAAUUUGCCUGCUUCCUGUUUCCUGCUUCCUGUGAUGUUUUAAGUCCGGCUGAAAUCUGCUGCAUGGGGUCAGGAGAGAGACAACCAAUCAAAACUUGAAUCUUGGGUCAUGUGACAGGUGGACAGGGGUUGGGGAUGGGAGUAUGGUCUUAUCUGAAUAGGCACUGAUGGAGGUUCUAAUCACUGGCACCAUUUCAUAAAAGGCUUGGCCUGCCAGCACUUGUGUCGCUCAUUUUGGAUUGAAGCUGAAAUUACAGGGAUGACAAAAAUGAGGGGGCUUUAAAGAUGAUUUUUUGAUGAAAGUUUACUUGAGGGCCGGUAUAAUUACGGUAGCUGUCCAUGCGGCCCGUACUGUUUGCACUUUUCUGGGGAGCCGGAGAAUCCAAUGCCAGAGCCGUCAGAAGUGCCUUCUGUCAUUGGCUGUCAUUUCUCUCCCGUCUCAUCGUUUCA
Molecule: RNA transcript, 3475 nt
Organism: Conger conger (European conger)
Lineage: Eukaryota; Metazoa; Chordata; Actinopteri; Anguilliformes; Congridae
Gene name: phosphatidylinositol 3-kinase regulatory subunit beta-like
Exons: 12
Source: RefSeq, a predicted model, not a curated record